Molecule: long non-coding RNA, 3442 nt
Filed under: Xyrichtys novacula (pearly razorfish)
Lineage: Eukaryota; Metazoa; Chordata; Actinopteri; Labriformes; Labridae
Source: RNAcentral
CCCCUCUACAAAGCGGAUCUCCUUUGAUCUCCAAACACGUGAUUUUUUUUUUUUUUUUUUUUUAGUUUUUUUCUCUCUCUCCCAAAAGGGUUAUAUCCCCACCCACCAAUCUUUCUGACCCUCUCCUUUGCACUCCCCACUCUAGAGUGCCAGCACUCAGUUAAGGAGGCACCGCGGACUUCACUGCGCCGCUGAACGAAAGGAAAAUGGGCGGCUAAAUGUUUGUCAACUCCUAAAUAUGCGCGUCAAAAUGUGAGUUUAUUCACAUGUCUUUCAGUAUGAUCAGGGUGAGGUUGUAUUUUCAGUCACUCUUGCAAACCUGGAUUACAUUGCGGUGCGUUUCACCGAGUUUGACACGUUUUUGGCUGUCGUUCCACCUUAAAACAAACACUUGAGACGCUUCAUGACUUAACCGGGCUAAUUUUUCAAUCUGAUUCCGAUUUUCUCACAUACAGAUUACAAUAGAUAUGAACGAUCAACUUGCUUUUAAAACACUUUCUGUUAACCCUGAUAAAAUCUUUACCUCGUGUUGUUGAUCAGACAGAGAUCAUGGAAAAGUUUUAUUUCAGGAAUACCUGUUAUCAAUAUUUAAUAUGCGGCCAAGCAGGGGCGCUGUAAAGAUUUCUGGGCCACCAGAAACAUAAACACCCCCCCCCCCCCCCCCCCCCCCCCCCACACACACACACACACACACACACACACACACUACAGCCAUGCACAACUGCUAUAACAUGGACUCCAUAACACAAAAGACCCAAUAAAAAGUAUAAAUUACUAUAACUUUGUGUCAUAAUCAUAAUUACAAUUGAAGAAGCUUGAAAUGUUUCCAGCAACAUGUGCAGUCAUAUUUAUUUUUUUCAUACAUUAAGACUUAAUCAACUCCUAGAGAAAUAAAUACUUUCAGCUUUAGGAUGUACAACACAAGCAGACCCCUACACUGAUCUUUCAACACACACAAAUUUAUUUUAUUGUUACUAUUAAUAUUUAAGCAAUUUACAGCUUUAUAAAGCAGCUCCAUCAUCACCACACCUGACCAAUUGUGUGAUAGCAAAAUGCUCAACUGCGCUUAACUACCAUUUGGGAAGCUGAGAGAGUCGGGAUAAAGGAUGGUACUUGAAGAAUCACCACAUCCACAUGCAGAUUGCACAUUGCUGAACAUGAUGAAUUGGUCUCUGGUACUGAGUCUGCUUGUACCUCACAACUAUCCCUGUCAACUGUGUCCAACUACCAUCUUAGUAGCUGGUAGGGUAGGGGUAACAGAUGGUGCUACAUGAGCUUCACAUCUUCAUAAAAACUGCAUCUUGCUGAACAUAAUGGAUUGUUCCACAGCAUUGCGUUUGCCUGUACCAGUCAACUGUCUGUGGCUGUGCUCAGCUACAGUAUGGUUAUUUGGGAGGGUGGCAAUAUCAGAUGGUUUAAGACAGAGUUACACAUCUUCAUGGACACUGCGCAUUGCUGAACAUUAUAGGAAUCUUCACGCAGGAAUACAAUUGAAUCUUUCUUCGCUCCCCUUAAAAACAGACUUCAUCCUGUUUACUGGUACAACUUUUAUUCUGAAUUUCUCAGUAUUUGUCUUAUGAGCCACUGCAAAGUUGUUUUUUAUCACUGAUUUUGAAAUUUGUAGGCUGCAAAUGAGCAAUUUACCCCAAGUUUCCACUAUUAAAUGCCCUUUAUCCUAUUCAAACAUUGAGGGGACCCCUUAAAAUCUCUGUCAAAUCCUUUUUCAUUCAUCCACCAAAACAACAUUUUGUCAUGAGCUGUUGUAGAGCUCAUGAAUUAGAGGCAAUUCACUUGCACAUAUAAUUGCACACCAGUCUAGAUCUCCAAUUAACGGCUGCUUUGGGUUUCAAAGGAGUUGUCAUCAAAACAGGCCUGACAAGCUAAUCAUAGAUCAUUUCAGGCAUUUUACAAACCUCUUAAUGAUUAAAUGUAAUUUGACAUAAUUCCCCUCUGAAAUUAGCGGCAGGAUUGAAACGUUAUAAUGGUGAGUGAGUUUGUGAAUCAUCAUGCAUUCUUUCUUCCAGUAUCUGUCCGUUAAAGAACACUGUUGCUGUUAUUUACUGCAGAGGAAGACGAUUGUCUCUCAGUCAUUGUCCAUGUAGAAUAAAGAGUCUUUUGUGAAUCUUCCUUACUGACCGGUUCCUGGAAGACAUCUUCUGCCUGGUGCCUUUUCUUUCGCUGAUAGACUCUUCUUUAUGGGGCUGCAAAUAAGCACACUGUGUCUUGAAAGGAGCCCAAAAGAACAGAUAAAUACACACUUUAUCUGCUCCCUAUAACAAAAGAUGAUGAUUGAACAAUUCAUACAAAGAACUCUCCGUACUAUGCGAGUGAUGACGAUAUUGUUCUCGCACUGUUCCGACUUUAAUGAAGGCAAAUGGGCUCAAAAGUAACGGUGAUUUCAUGAGCAAUUUGAAGUUUUCACAAAAGUAUUUCAAAAACUAUGAGAAGAACAAGGCAUGAAAUUGAUUAAUGCAACUUUGCAGAGGCCUGUUUCUAAUAUCUAUUCCAAAGAAAACACAUGAAGCUCUGAGAUGAAGGGUGAGCUGUGCACAGUGAUAGAUGUCCAAAAGGGCCCAGAAAGCAAAGCUCUCAUCUUGCUGUCAGCUGUGUGGCAGUGUCAUUAUGAAAACCAACUGUGAGGACGUUUUAGGUCAAGAAUGCAGCAGCCUCCUCUGGAAGAAAGCGUGAUGGUCAACAUAUGUUCGGACUCAAAGGAGGAGGUGGGGGGAAAGUGGAGCAGAGAACAAUUCAAAGCUGAAACUUAAGAAGUUCUUCAGCGCCUGAAGCAUGACUAUAAUUUACAGAUCACAUCGGACGUCACUCUGUUUUUAUGAAUCCUGAUCCACACCACAUGGCCUGUAGCUGUCCUCCACUACUUUCUGUUUCUCACACUCACAUGAAAUGCAUAGACUGUGAGUGAACACAUGAAUAAUAGGACAAUAAUGAAAGUAAAUCAGAUUUAUUUAUCAGUAUACUAAUGGACCACAUAAUAACUUGGGUCAACAAGUUGCAGCGAUACAAUUACUCGAAGAACAUCUUGUCCCUCUUUUAUUGCAAGUCUGCCCUCUGCUGGCAGCUGGAAGUCUCUAAUCCAAAACAGCUGAAACGUCAGCGCUUUCAACUUGUUGGGGAGUUAGUGGGAAUCAUUCAACCCUUUAUAUUUGUUAAAAAUAAAAAAAAAGGACACAAUAGGAUCGAACAUGUGCUGUAUUUCUUGUUUGUCUCCUCUCAAACUGUUCUCUCUCUUUGUGCAGUUGUGUUUCAACAGCAGCUGUGGAUCCUCUCCUGACGCUCGUGUCUCUUUUCACUGAUGUCUAAACUCGGGCCGCCCUGAGAAGAAUCAGCUGUCUGCUUGUUUAAGCUGAGAGGGUGCUGACGAAGAGGACGACUGUGAGAAAUGAUGGCUGGAGCUUUGCAUUUCUCUGUCAUCUCAUGACACAGG